This 350-nucleotide long non-coding RNA is filed under the name Nicotiana benthamiana. RNAcentral describes it as "long non-coding RNA (NBEN_LNC013866)". The record is from RNAcentral. Lineage: Eukaryota; Viridiplantae; Streptophyta; Magnoliopsida; Solanales; Solanaceae.
CGAUAUAAUAAUUAAAUGAAGCGGGAUCCAUAUAUUUAAUUAUGGUUAAAUAGUAAAAAUUAACGAGCGAACCGCACAUGUAAAUAAAAAGUGAAUAAGUUUCGAAAUUGUUUGUGGGGGUGGGAAUCAUUAGUCCUCAAUCAGCAACCCAAGGUGGGUCCAAUAUUUGAUGCUGCAGAAUCAAGAUUGCGAUGUUGUUUGUUCAGAUUUGACCUUUCCGCUGUACAGAGUGUCACUUAAUAUUUGAAGUAUGUGAAUACAAAUAACAUCACUCAAACAAAAAGCAAAGUCUGAAUUUUUUAAACGUCUUGAGUAAGAGCCAAAUUCAUCAGAUAUCUUAGAUAAAAAAU